AUGCCUCCGCUCCCUCUUGACGAGCGCAUAGUGGUUAUUCAGCGCCCCAAAAGUUUGGCCUUGCGCGUGGCCUCCCCACCAACCACAUCACAAUCUUCCUCACACCGCCCAGCCACUCACAACGAGCCUCCACCCCACUUACCACAACACUCAUUACCCUGUUCCCAUCCAGGUUCCAAGUACUUGUCUCUGGAAUGCAAGCGCAGGCAAUCAUCCCAUGUUCAAAGAGAUAAAGGAGAACGAGGUGCUCCCUUUGAGGGCAGCGGCCACAAUGCUAGCCAUUGUCACAGCAAUGGGACAGUAACUUUAGGUCCCAGACCUCACAAGCACACGCAUACCAUUGACAUUAAAGUGUCUUUGGACAAAGGUGGAAGAGGAGGAUCUUACAUAGACAAAGGCCGCAGUAGUAGUCUUACCCGAAGUGGAAGCAUCAAGGGGAACAGAACUAAACGGGUGUCCCUGCACUUGGAUCCAGGGCAAGGUGAAAGGAAAUGCAAAGGAAAGUCUUCCGAAUCAGUGGAGAAGCACCAGAACCAUCAUCAGAGUCAAAACAGGACUCAGCACAGUAGCCAUCAUCCAAACCAACUUACAGUCUCUCCUGGAGGGAUCUUGGAAUUUGUACCAGCGCAAAGACAACAGUCAAAAUCCAAGCCAACAAGAGAGAGAGACUUGUCAUCAAAGUCUUGCUCUGCAACUACCAGCUACCCAUUGCACAGUGAGAGGAACGUAUCAUCUGUAGGAAAUAAAGAAAACUCCAAACUGGGACCUGGCCACCAACUGCCACAUGCCCACAGCCUAUCCCAUCACCACAGUUCAGCCCCAUUACCCCAUGCUGCCAUCCUAAACCCUCACUACCCUGCUGUACCACCCUCACUCCCUUCCCGAGCCCCUUCCUCCUACCAGCACAGUCAACCCCGUCCCUCACACACUAGAGAACAUCGGCCCCAAAUUCUUCACGCAUUGCCCCUCUCCCCUACUUCCUCCCAAGGAGGCUUCCCCAGUCCUGACCACACAUGUACAAUUGACUUUUCCCAUCCCUGUGGCUGUUGGAGGUUGGUGCGUUGUAGAAGAGGUAGAGGUCACUCGGCUGGCUGCCACGGUCAUAGUGCAAGCCCAUCCUCUUCAUUUUCUCACACCCAAGGAACAAGUGCUGCCAACAGAGGUGGCGGAACCAUGGGAUUGAAGACUUUAGGAGGGUGUCUGUCAACUGCUUCCACCACCAACACCUCCUCUUCCAACAGCACUGUCUCAGACUGUCGCACAGGGCUGCUCAGACCUUUGGGUUGUGCAUCCUGUUCUGGAGAAGCUGGAGGUUUUGAGAGCCCUGCUGCUUUCCGUAAGAAACUGGUUGGGGGUUGUUUACCCUGUACCACCCUCACUCCCUUCCCGAGCCCCUUCCUCCUACCAGCACAGUCAACCCCGUCCCUCACACACUAG
This 1437-nucleotide long non-coding RNA is filed under the name Sinocyclocheilus grahami. RNAcentral's name for it is "lncRNA (ENSSGRG00000042848.1)". The record is from RNAcentral. Lineage: Eukaryota; Metazoa; Chordata; Actinopteri; Cypriniformes; Cyprinidae.